AUGAUCUGCACUGCAGUCAUGCCCCAAAGUUUUACACUACAUACAUACAAACAUAUAGCAGCCGCCCAAUCAUCAGACAAGCUUGCCUGUGACUACCACUUAAUUACUUGGCCGGACGACUCAGGCCGCUGCGCCGUCCACCUGCUGCCUGCGCCGCUUACUGGACUCCUUGAUCUUCAGCAGCUCGUCGCAGACGAUCCACGGGAAGCUCCAGAACUGCUUCUUUCCCGGCCGGCGGUGGUCCGGGUGAUAAGUCACACGGUACAGGAGCCUGUUUCGGAUGUUGCCGGUCAGGAUCUCGUCCUCAUGCUCCGCGCCAUAGUAGCUCAUCAGGGUGCUCAGCUUCUCCGCGUACAGGUCGUAGCACUCCUCCGCAAAUGCCAGGAAUUCCUCGAAGCCAGGGACCUCUAG
RNAcentral lists this ribosomal RNA (411 nucleotides) under Triticum aestivum (bread wheat). RNAcentral's name for it is "partial small subunit ribosomal RNA". Lineage: Eukaryota; Viridiplantae; Streptophyta; Magnoliopsida; Poales; Poaceae. The record is from RNAcentral.